This 22-nucleotide microRNA is filed under the name Pteropus alecto (black flying fox). Its description in RNAcentral is "pal-miR-181d-3p". Its record names the gene pal-miR-181d-3p. RNAcentral also lists the same sequence under 1 other name. Lineage: Eukaryota; Metazoa; Chordata; Mammalia; Chiroptera; Pteropodidae. The record is from miRBase by way of RNAcentral.
CCCACCGAGGGAUGAAUGUCAC